UUAAACAGACAAACAAAAAUCCACUUGUAUGAGUGGGAUUAGUCCGUUACUGGGUAACCUAAGAUACUAUCUGUACCUGAUGACUUCACAGGUGAGUUAAGUAUAAUCUCAGGAAAGUAGAGCUGGAAUGUGACUAUAAUAGAGGAGAAAGAAACAUAAUCAAUAAUAAUAUUCCUUGUCUAGAGAAAGACUGGAUAAAUAUAAAUAGAACAGACUGGAGCACAAAAGAAUUCUUAUCAACAUGGGUUAUAAUUUUCAUUGGAAGUCAACAAGUCUAAUUUAUACUUCUGAGUCUUGCAUUUGGAUAGCACUUCUCAUGUAUGACAAAAUUCAGUUUCCAGACCUGAGACUGGAAAUGUGAGGUGCUACAACCUUCCCCUGCCAUAGGCUCCUUCUCUGUCAUGGAAACAACCAGAGGAUGCUAGGAUGUUUCACUGGGAAGAGAGAAGUGAGAGUUAACACAUGUUUUUAAACUGUAUUCUUCUUUACCCUUAAUUUCUUUGCUGUGAUCAUUACCUACUGCCUAUUAGAUCACCAAUCUUCGGGCAAAGUGUUUGGGAAGCCGUGCUGCAGGUCAUGACUCUGCCUGUAGGCACUCCCCUGCCUGCCAAUCUGUAUACCCUGGUACUGGGUGGACUCCCUAUAGCUCACAUAAUGUCCACAUAUGACCAGGAUGCUGAGGCCCUGAAGAUGCCAAGUGGAGUUGGCAGGUGGAAAGAAUGACUGCGCUUUCUCCAUCCCCACUGAUUCCUCCUGGUGCGUCACCUGGACCCGAACUGAAGUUGGAUGCCAGGGCAUAGAACUCCUCCUUGCUGAGCUGACCUUAGAUGAGAGAGAGGAGAAAAAACCACAGCCAGUGACUGCACAGUUCAUUCUGCACCGAAGACAGAGUCCAUGACAGCCCAGUGUGGCGGUGCUGGAAGGAGAGCCAUUUCCGGCUAACGAAGAGGGGCCCUAAGGGGGGAUCUGCAGCCUCUGUCCUGGGUGUGGCCAGCAGCCUCGUCUUGUGGGCGCUCUGUGGGUGGAGGGGUGAGCUCAUACCUUUUCCUCCUUGAAGCAGUCAUUCUAUGACAUUCAGACCCAACCAGGUCCCUUGGUCACAAAAUAAAGAAUGGU
Long non-coding RNA from Manis pentadactyla (Chinese pangolin), 1116 nucleotides. RefSeq lists it as uncharacterized. The record is from RefSeq and is a predicted model, not a curated record. The transcript is spliced from 4 exons. Lineage: Eukaryota; Metazoa; Chordata; Mammalia; Pholidota; Manidae.